RNAcentral lists this transfer RNA (77 nucleotides) under Paraclostridium bifermentans subsp. muricolitidis. RNAcentral's name for it is "tRNA-Asp". It matches the Rfam family "tRNA". From Rfam's summary of the family: Transfer RNA (tRNA) molecules are approximately 80 nucleotides in length. Their secondary structure includes four short double-helical elements and three loops (D, anti-codon, and T loops). Further hydrogen bonds mediate the characteristic L-shaped molecular structure. tRNAs have two regions of fundamental functional importance: the anti-codon, which is responsible for specific mRNA codon recognition, and the 3' end, to which the tRNAs corresponding amino acid is attached (by aminoacyl-tRNA synthetases). tRNAs cope with the degeneracy of the genetic code in two manners: having more than one tRNA (with a specific anti-codon) for a particular amino acid; and 'wobble' base-pairing, i.e. permitting non-standard base-pairing at the 3rd anti-codon position. The record is from RNAcentral. Lineage: Bacteria; Bacillati; Bacillota; Clostridia; Peptostreptococcales; Peptostreptococcaceae.
GGCCUGGUAGUGCAGCUGGUUAGAAUGCCAGCCUGUCACGUUGGUUGUCGAGGGUUCGAGUCCCUUACAGGUCGCCA